CCUAGGGGAGGCAGCAGUGGGGAAUUUUGCGCAAUGGGGGAAACCCUGACGCAGCACGCCGCGUGGAGGAUGAAGUCCCUUGGGACGUAAACUCCUUUCGACCGGGAAGAUACUGACGGUACCGGAAGAAGAAGCACCGGCUAACUCUGUGCCAGCAGCCGCGGUAAU
This 168-nucleotide ribosomal RNA is filed under the name uncultured bacterium. Its description in RNAcentral is "partial 16S rRNA". It matches the Rfam family "Bacterial small subunit ribosomal RNA", at positions 338 to 524 of the family's 1533-position model. The record is from RNAcentral.